Molecule: long non-coding RNA, 384 nt
Organism: Humulus lupulus (European hop)
Lineage: Eukaryota; Viridiplantae; Streptophyta; Magnoliopsida; Rosales; Cannabaceae
Exons: 2
Source: RefSeq, a predicted model, not a curated record
UCUAGAGUUUAAUAAAAAUUUCCUUAAAGCUAGAGCUAGGAGCAAGCCUUUGGUGAUUUGAGAAUUUAAGAAAGACUUAAGCAGGAAGGAGAGGACCUAAGAGUUGUCAAGGCUAGAAUUUAGCUGGGAUAUUCAAAAUAUUGGAGGUAAAGGUAAAAGAAAGCUGGGCCAUCCUUGAGUUGGAGAGCUUAGGUGACGAUGUGUACAUAUGCAUCUGCUCGACCGCCACAGUCAAGGGUUGAAAGAGGAACUAGGGUUAAACCCUGUUUUGCCGCUUAGAUCGGCUAGUUGUAAUUAUUUUCUUGUAAUAGACCCUUAAAUUAUAUUUUUGGGAUCCCAAUGUAUACGGUAAACGUUAUAAUGAAACUUUAUAUCUUAACGAAA